GGUUGAUCCUGCCAGUAGUCAUAUGCUUGUCUCAAAGAUUAAGCCAUGCAUGUCUAAGUAUAAACGAAUCUAUACAGUGAGACUGCGGAUGGCUCAUUAAAUCAGUUAUAGUUUAUUUGAUGGUUCCUGUUUUCUCCAUUUUGGAUGCUUAUCCUCGCUACUUGGAUAACCGUAGUAAUCCUAGAGCUAAUACAUGCGCGAGGUCCCGAUCGAGGGGAGGCGCUCGCAAGGGCGUCUCGCUCCCGAGAGGGACGUAUUCAUCGGACCGAAAACCGACGCGGGGCACCCCAAA
This 292-nucleotide ribosomal RNA is filed under the name uncultured eukaryote. Its description in RNAcentral is "partial 18S ribosomal RNA". It matches the Rfam family "Eukaryotic small subunit ribosomal RNA", at positions 6 to 241 of the family's 1831-position model. The record is from RNAcentral.